AGGCUGCACUUAUAUGCUUGAAACCUGAUUUGGAUUGAAGAAUGUUUGGUGUAUAGAGAUAGUGAACACUAAAUUGAACAUGCUUUACCCAGGAUGAUCGCUUCUUUUGUUGCUUCUGUGGAGUCAACUGGUUUAUUGCUUGCAUCAGCAAGAUAUGGAAGCGGCAGCACUGCACAAGUAACGCCUUCUUUCAUUAGCUGGGGUGUUGGCUGACUGGGGACAGGGAUUUCGCUAAAUGCUCUUUUUGGGGGUGUGGCUGGUUGCACUGCUACAAUGUGACAGUCUCUGAUCUCUACAAUGCUCCUUUAUUCUAAAUUUCGUCCUAGGGGAUAAUGCUGGUCUCUGGGCAAUGACAAGAGUUGGAAGCCGAAGAGUCGUGCAAAUAUCUGCUGCUUUUAUGUUUUUUCUUCUCCGUCCUAGGAUAAUUUGGAGCAAUACCUGCAUCAAUCAUGGCUGCAAUAUACUGCAUCUUCUUUAGAACAAACUUCAUAUUGGAACUGGUCCUCUUCAUACACAUUCUAGAUGGUUUAAUGACGCAAUAUCUGUCAUCUUCACAUCACACGCCACGAUAGCUGCUGCAGUUGCUGUAUUUUUGGAUAGGACUCUUCCAUUUAGUAACAAUGAAGCUCGAAAAGACAAUGGCUCGCAUUGGUGGGACAAGUUUGUGGUAUAUACUAAAGAUGUUAGAAGUGAUGAGUUUUAUACAUUGCCAUGCCAACUUAAUAGAUGAUUCUUCCCACAUUAUUAGUCAAAAAUAAAUGUCAUCACUGUUUUGUAAGGGGCUUGUUUCCUUCAUAAACUCGCUCAAGUUCUACCAAGUUUUGUUCUUUUAUUCCUUUAGAAUAGCAUAUGUCAUUCUGUUGACGAUCCCAGAAAUCUUGCUAUUAUUGAAUGUCAGGUGAUCU
Long non-coding RNA from Solanum stenotomum, 905 nucleotides. RefSeq lists it as uncharacterized. The transcript is spliced from 6 exons. The record is from RefSeq and is a predicted model, not a curated record. Lineage: Eukaryota; Viridiplantae; Streptophyta; Magnoliopsida; Solanales; Solanaceae.